UGGUGUUGUGAAAAUCUUGAACUUGGAGGAGGGAGGUGCCUUUAAUGUUAGCAGUGCUGAAGACAUGCUCAAGGCCCUUUGAGAGUAAUGAUUUUUCUUUCUAUGUUUAUUUGAACUUUUGAAUUUGAGUUUAUGUUGAUUAUGAUGAGGAUGAGGAUGAGAAUCGUUUAUGUUGAUUAUGAUGAGGAUGAGAAUCGUUUCUAUCUUUAUGAAUAAAUGCGAUAGAAUUAUCUAAACAUUCAGAUGAAAUCUAUUGGCUAUGAUGCG
Molecule: long non-coding RNA, 267 nt
Filed under: Olea europaea (common olive)
Lineage: Eukaryota; Viridiplantae; Streptophyta; Magnoliopsida; Lamiales; Oleaceae
Description: long non-coding RNA (OEUR_LNC012984)
Source: RNAcentral